RNAcentral lists this ribosomal RNA (450 nucleotides) under uncultured bacterium. RNAcentral's name for it is "partial 16S ribosomal RNA". It matches the Rfam family "Bacterial small subunit ribosomal RNA", at positions 354 to 796 of the family's 1533-position model. The record is from RNAcentral.
GUGGGGAAUUUUGGACAAUGGGGGCAACCCUGAUCCAGCCAUCCGGCGUGUGCGAUGAAGGCCUUCGGGUUGUAAAGCACUUUUGGCAGGGAAGAAAAGGCGCCGGCUAACACCUGGCGCUGCUGACGGUACCUGCAGAAUAAGCACCGGCUAACUACGUGCCAGCAGCCGCGGUAAUACGUAGGGUGCAAGCGUUAAUCGGAAUUACUGGGCGUAAAGCGUGCGCAGGCGGUUCGGAAAGAAAGAUGUGAAAUCCCAGGGCUUAACCUUGGAACUGCAUUUUUAACUGCCGGGCUAGAGUAUGUCAGAGGGGGGUAGAAUUCCACGUGUAGCAGUGAAAUGCGUAGAGAUGUGGAGGAAUACCGAUGGCGAAGGCAGCCCCCUGGGAUGAUACUGACGCUCAUGCACGAAAGCGUGGGGAGCAAACAGGAUUAGAAACCCCGGUAGUCC